RNAcentral lists this ribosomal RNA (503 nucleotides) under uncultured bacterium. RNAcentral describes it as "partial 16S ribosomal RNA". It matches the Rfam family "Bacterial small subunit ribosomal RNA", at positions 28 to 507 of the family's 1533-position model. The record is from RNAcentral.
GACGAACGCUGGCGGCGUGCCUAACACAUGCAAGUCGAACGGUGAAGCGCUUUCCUUUUUGGUUGGUGUGGAUGAGUGGCGAACGGGUGAGUAACACGUGAGUAACCUGCCCCCUUCUUCUGGAUAACCGCAUGAAAGUGUGGCUAAUACGGGAUAUUCUGCGCCUGCUGCAUGGUGGGUGUGGGAAAGAUUGUGCCUUUGGGUGUUUUCGGUGGGGGAUGGGCUCGCGGCCUAUCAGCUUGUUGGUGGGGUGAUGGCCUACCAAGGCGGUGACGGGUAGCCGGCCUGAGAGGGUGGACGGUCACACUGAGACUGAGACACGGCCCAGACUCCUACGGGAGGCAGCAGUGGGGAAUAUUGCACAAUGGGCGCAAGCCUGAUGCAGCGACGCCGCGUGAGGGAUGGAGGCCUUCGGGUUGUGAACCUCUUUCGCCAGUGAAGCAGGCCUGCUCCUUGUGGGUGGGUUGACGGUAGCUGGAUAAGAAGCGCCGGCUAACUACGUG